GGGGGAUCUCCUGUUAUAUAUGUUUCCAUAUUAGGAAGUGUUUGGUCUAGUUUUUGAAAAGUGACUUUUAGCUUAAUUAAUAGAGCGUCUAGCAAUUUCGUUUUUAAAAUCUGAUUUUGAUUUUUAGAAUCAGUUUUUUGAUUUUUGAUGUCCAAAAUUAGAAGCAGUUAAAAUUUACUUUUUGAAAUCUAAUUCUAAUUUUAAACUCAAACUUUAAAUUCUUAUUUUAAUUGAAAACUUAUUACUAUAUA
RNAcentral lists this long non-coding RNA (251 nucleotides) under Ananas comosus (pineapple). RNAcentral's name for it is "long non-coding RNA (ACOM_LNC016275)". The record is from RNAcentral. Lineage: Eukaryota; Viridiplantae; Streptophyta; Magnoliopsida; Poales; Bromeliaceae.